CCGAAGUCCCGACGAGUCCUGAUUAAAGACUUUUGUUUGUAUAUCUUUAAUAUCAUGUAUCAUCUGCAGACGUAAACAUAUACCAUUAAAUCAUUCCCGUUGGCAAGCUUGAUGAAGAAAAAGUUCAGUGUCGCAAAUGGAUUUUCUGCGGCAGUAAACCCAAAGUUACUUUUUUGAUACAAUUUGGUGAUCUUUUCUAAUUACAUCAAACUAUCAGUAUUUAUUUACCAUAAAUACUGAUAGUUUGAAGAUGUUGGCAAACAGUAUUAACUAUGUGUAUAUAUGCAAUAUCACCAUGUGUGCCAUCAUUAAUACAGUACUAUUAACUUCUGGCUGUAGGCAUGGCUGGGUAGAAGACAGGAAUAAGACAUUGACAAAACUAAUUUUGGCGAAUCACUCUCUUUAUUUCUAAGCACAUCAAUAAUUAUUUCUUUGGCAGAAAGCUUACUCUUUGAUCAUAAUUGAAUACAAAUAACUUUUAUAUACACAGAUAAAAAGCUACGACGUCAUUUCAGGUAGGGAAGCAUAGGCGGCAGAGAGCUGUUUGCAUGGCAGAAGUCAGGAAAAAAGGGAAGCGUAGUACUCGUGACUCAGCAUUUAUAUCUUGAUCUUCCCCCUAGACCAGUACUUUCGAGAACAUUCUGGCAUGUUACGUAAUCGCUACUAUAAAUGAAGAGUUCAUGCCAUUUUUCGUGAGAUUGCUUUUCUCCACCUGCUGCUGUAAGACCCUUUGCUGCCACUCUUCCCAUCUUUCUUUGUUUGAAUAGCAUGACGGAGUAAAAUUACUGGAUUACUAGUAAAAUUAUUAAAUUUACUGUGUAUUUAGUCUAAAUUUCUAUUGCAUAUGUAAUCUUGAAGAAGCUAAAAGAAUAAAGAUUUGCCAUUUGAAUUGAAUAAAGAUGUAGAACCAAAACAGCUAA
Molecule: long non-coding RNA, 920 nt
Organism: Stegodyphus dumicola
Lineage: Eukaryota; Metazoa; Arthropoda; Arachnida; Araneae; Eresidae
Source: RefSeq, a predicted model, not a curated record